ACUCAAAUGAAUAGACGGGGGAGCGCACAACCGGUGGAGCAUGUGGUUUAAUUCGAUAUGAAGCGAAAGACCUUACCUAGGUUUGACAUCCAGCUGCACGUCCUUGGAAACAGGGACUUCUUCGAGAGUGCUGGACAGGUGAUGCAUGGCUGUCGUCAGCUCGUGUCGUGAGACGUCCGCUUAAGUGCGGUAACGAGCGCAACCCUUAUCGCCAGUUACAAGUGUCUGGCGAGACUGCCCCGGUUUCACAUCGGGGAGGAAGGAGAGGAUGACGUCAAGUCAGCACGUCCCUUACAUCUAGGGCCACACACAUCCUACAAUGGAGCCGACAACGGGUCGCGACGGGGUAACCCUGAGCCAAUCCUAAUAAACGGCUCCUCAGUUCAGAUUGAGGGCUGCAAUUCGCCCUCAUGAAGUCGGAAUCGGUAGUAAUCGCAAAUCAUCAGGUUGCGGUGAAUACGUUCUCGCUCCUUGUACACACCGCCCGU
This 488-nucleotide ribosomal RNA is filed under the name uncultured bacterium. RNAcentral describes it as "partial 16S ribosomal RNA". It matches the Rfam family "Bacterial small subunit ribosomal RNA", at positions 899 to 1397 of the family's 1533-position model. The record is from RNAcentral.